AAACACUUCCUAGCAAAGCUGUCUGGAUUGAGGAGCUGUUUAGCCAGAAUUCAAUUCUCCUCCACUCCUUUUUACUGCAAAAUGGGGCGCUAUAUGCUGAUCCUGGCUGUGACUGUAACUCUCGUCUUAGUUGCCCAGGCCCUGAAAUGUAAACACUGCUCGGACAUUCAAAAGAUGCCGCCUUACUGUGAAAAAACAGAGGAACGAGAAUGCAGUAUUGGCUCCAAUAAGUGCAUUACCAUCGACUUUGCAAAACCAGCAUAUGGUCAAGUGCGCAGAUGUGCCACUCACAGAGAAUGUGAAGAUAAAGUGCCUAGCCAGGUGCAGAUACACUGCUGUGACGAAGACCUCUGCAACUGACCUUCCUAUACUUAUAGAGAGAAGAGGGGAGCAAGUCCACUUUAAAUAAAGCCAAACUAUCUCUAGCAUUAUUUAUAAUUAAUUUAACAAAUGAAUAGCUGCCAAAAUGUAGCCCUCACUAAAUGUGUUCACUAAAAAUUCAUUAUUAAAUGAAACAAAAUAAAUAACAUGCAUGCA
RNAcentral lists this long non-coding RNA (537 nucleotides) under Astyanax mexicanus (Mexican tetra). RNAcentral's name for it is "lncRNA (ENSAMXG00005021108.1)". The record is from RNAcentral. Lineage: Eukaryota; Metazoa; Chordata; Actinopteri; Characiformes; Acestrorhamphidae.